Non-coding RNA from Sebastes umbrosus (honeycomb rockfish), 378 nucleotides. NCBI's taxonomy places the organism in Eukaryota, Metazoa, Chordata, Actinopteri, Perciformes, Sebastidae. The record is from the annotation of a RefSeq genome assembly.
AUGGAUAUUAUCACAUUAUCAGUCUUUGUGCUGUGGACUGCAGGUCUAACUGAUGGAAGCGAUGUCACCCAGACUGACAUACUGUGGAAAGACGAGGGUGAUGAUGCAACAAUACACUGCAGCCAGACCAAGGGUGUUCAGUACGACCAGAUGUACUGGUUCAGACAGCUGCCAGGAGAAACAAUAAAACUAAUAGUGCGCACAAGUUUCACCACCAAAGGUCACGACUUUGGAGAUUUCGGCAAAGAGAGAUUUUCAGCCACCAAGCCUGACUUUGAAAGUGGGAAAUUCACAGUGAAGAAUCUGCAGCCAAAAGAUAAAGGCUUGUAUUUCUGUGCUGUGAGUCAACACAGUGAUACAGACUCAUUCAAUAGCUGA